This 126-nucleotide small RNA is filed under the name Mytilus galloprovincialis (Mediterranean mussel). The record is from RNAcentral. Lineage: Eukaryota; Metazoa; Mollusca; Bivalvia; Mytilida; Mytilidae.
UGGAGAGGAAACAUAGAGUGCAUACGUCGACAAAAAACAUUUUUUUAACACAAUGUUUGUAUUGACAUUUUACAUGUUUAACUUGAAUAUUUAGUUUGUCGACGUCUGCACUCUAUGUUUCCUGGU